UUUCCUUUCAUUCAUAGAAUCAUAGAAUAAUAGAAUCACCAAGGUUGGAAAAGACCCACAGGAUCAUCCAGUCCAACCAUUCGCCCAUCACCAAUGGUUCUCGCUAAACCACGUCCCUCAACACAACAUCCAAAUUCCCUUUGAACACCACCAGGGUUGGUGACUCCACUACCUCUCUGGGCAGCCCAUUCCAGUGCCUGACCACCCUUUCAGAGAAGUAGGAUUUCCUAACAUCCAGCCUGAACCUUCCCUGGCGCAACUUGAAGCCAUUCCCUCUAGUCCUAUCGCUAGUCACAUGAGAGAAGAGGCUGACUGCCAGCUCACUACAACCUCCCUUCAGGUAGUUACAGAGAGCAAUAAGGUCUCCCCUGAGCCUCCUCUUCUCUAGACUGAACAAUCCCAGCUCCUUCAGCUGCUCCUCAUAAGGCCUGUGCUCCAGACCCCUCACCAGCUUGGUUGCCCUCCUCUGGACAUGCUCCAGGGCCUCAAUGUCUUUCUCACAGUGAGGGGCCCAAAACUGGACACAGUACUGAAGGUGCGGCCUCACCAGUGCUGAGUACAGGGGGACAAUUACUUCCCUGUUCCUGCUGGCCACACUAUUUCUGAUACAAGCCAGGAUGCCAUUGGCCUUCUUGGCCACCUGGGCACACUGCCGGCUCAUGUUCAGUCUAGCGUCAAUCAACACCCCCAGGUCCAUUUCCUCUACACAGUCUCCCAGCCACUCUGCCCCAAGCCUGUAGCGUUGCCUGGGGUUAUUGUGGCCAAAGUGCAGGACCCGGCAUUUGGUCUUGUUGAAUCCCAUCCCAUUGGCUUCAACCCAGAUAUCCAACCUAUCCAGAUCAAUCUGUACAUACAAGUACAUUUAAUGCCUAUUUGCAUAUAUGAAUGUGAAUGGAAACAGUGUACAAGUAUUUCUAUUUAUUAUAAAAAUUAGUUUAUAUUCAACUCUAUUUUUUCUUGAAAACAUCAUACAUUAGACUUAAGUUGCUGUAGACAUAGUGACAAUAGUUUUUUUGUUUUUUUUUUCCAAAUGAGAAUUUUCAUUUAUACCAAUAUUUUAGGAAAUCUGAGAAAUACUUUGUCUCCAAAUAAUCAUUUUUCUUAUACUGUUGAAGAAAUCAAGCUUUUUUUCUAGUGAAACAAACUAAACCCUUG
Molecule: long non-coding RNA, 1155 nt
Filed under: Gallus gallus (chicken)
Lineage: Eukaryota; Metazoa; Chordata; Aves; Galliformes; Phasianidae
Description: lncRNA (ENSGALG00010004160.1)
Source: RNAcentral